GGUUUGGGGGGGGCAGAAAUUAAGCAUAUUAAAGAUUAGUUGAAAAUUUCAAGAAGCAUCACAGAUAAGAGAAACACAAGCGUGGGGGUUUAUUGUGUUCCGUCUUUCAAAAAUUGUUUCACAAAAUGAUGUGGCUGAAGAAGCCACAUAAAGAGAAGGGAUUUUCUUGUGAGUGCUUAACUGCCUGAAGAGAGAGUCCAGAGGGGCUGUGAAAUCAGACCCUGGAGGCUUCUCUGUAGUGCCAUGCUAAUCAGGGUUAUUUUACUCCCUGAGACUUCAUUUCUGCUUCCAGGAGUUGGUGGCAAAAUAAGCUUUCAUUUUCUCACAACAGCACAUUCCCAGGAAAGGGCCCUUGUCCUGAAGUCCUCUGUGACAUUCUGUCCUUGGUCUCACAGGUGGCUCAACUGUCUUCCCAGAUCCCCCAGGAUUGCGCCCCUCCUUAAUCAAAGGGCUGGUCAGUGAAUGUACCCAGGUCAUUAAUUGCGUGGAGCUCGGGCAGUUUGUGCACUGUCCUCCCCUUCUUCAGUUCUCCUGGGUCCAUCCCUCAUCAGCUAAGCUAUGUGAAGUAGCUUAAUUGACAUUGCAACAUCGCACAUCACACCGAGUGCGUGUGAACUGCCGACUAGAUAAAGCCUGACGUGACUGGACACUGGUGGGCAGACAGCCCCCAGAACCACAGGCGGUUCCAGAUGUUUUUGUCGAGGCUGGCACAGUUCCAGUCACUUCUGAGCUGGCCUUUCCAGUUUCUCCAGGUCUCAACUCCACGCACCGGGUGUUGGCAGGCGCGGGGAAAAUAUUCCUCAGGCUUUGAUCUCCAUCUCUGCUGCGGGCCCUGUUCCGUUGACCUCAGCCACGUCGCUGCCCUCCCGUGUAUAAGAAAUCCGCCAAGAUGGCGCCCCUGGCCAAUACUUCCAGACCGCCGACGGAGACGCUCAUGGCACGGCCGCACUCUGCAGUGUUCUGUGGGUCGGGAAAGCUCAUAAGUUGUUAUUUGCCUCCUCCCCCAGUAAGGAGGGAACUUGCUGGCAAACCUCAAGGCAGAGUUAACUGGGUGGAAGCCAUUCUUAGCGUGUGGGGUGUCUAAAUAACAGGUGUGGGCUGCAUUUGGCCCAUUGGCUGUAGUUUGCCAACCCCCGUUCCAGGAAGAGUGAAACGUGUCACCGUAACAGAAGCAACACUCACAUCACCCUAUUCUUCUCAUAUUCACUGCAGACUUGAUUGUUAUGAUCUGGGUAAAAAUGCUGGUCAUCAAAGCGUCUGUUCCCAAAUCAAUGCCUGUGAUUCAUAACAGCAUAGACCACCUGACUUCAAGGAGAACCAUCUACACUCGUCAGAGGACAAGCCAUCACUCAGAAAUUCUGAUCUUCAAGGUUGUGCAGUAGUGGAAUGAGAUUCUGUGGGUGUUUCCCUUGGUGAUACGAUGGUGAGUGGAUCUGAUGGGAGCUUUUAUCAAAACUUGGGUGAUACAAACCGUGUGGACUAGUAACCAGAAAUCAGGUGGUGCCUUGAUCAGUACAGUGGAUGCCAGCACAGACGUCAGUGACCGAAGAUAAGGACUCUCCAAAGAGGUCAGAGGUUAUAAUCACCAGUAGAAGCCAACCUGCUGUCAGUGUUUUAGCUCCACAGCGACCCUCCGGAAGUGACCUACCCUCCCAUGAACUGUGAGUGGGAAGGGAGGAAUUAAAUCUGAACUUACAGAGUUUAAAUGUAAAAUAACUGAGUUUGCAUGGAAUUAAUAAUGAUUGAAGUUUCUGCCAGCUAGCACAAUAGGGUCUUUCAGUUAGAGAAAAUAAAGUUAAUCCUUUUUACGACCAAGAACAUGGCUUUAGAAAAUUGAACCUGUUACAUAAGAAAUUGAGGCAUAAGUAUAUUAUUUAAGGUAAUUAAAGAUAAACAAGCAAAGAAAUAAAGAUGAUAAUACAUCACAUAGUAUAAAAAG
Long non-coding RNA from Bos taurus (domestic cattle), 1939 nucleotides. The record is from Ensembl. NCBI's taxonomy places the organism in Eukaryota, Metazoa, Chordata, Mammalia, Artiodactyla, Bovidae.